UGGAUCCAGACUUUGAUUAUGGCUCAGGACGAACGCUGGCGGCAUGCCUAACACAUGCAAGUCGAACGGAGUUGUUAUACAGAAGUUCUUCGGGAUGGAAGUAUAAGAACUUAGUGGCGGACGGGUGAGUAACGCGUGGGUAACCUGCCCUUUUGUGGGGAACAACUUCGAGAAAUCGGAGCUAAUACCGCAUAAUAAUAGAGAAUCGCAUGAUUCUUUAAGGAAAGAUGGCCUCUGAAGAUGCUAUCGCAAAAGGAUGGACCCGCGUCUGAUUAGCUAGUUGGAAGGGUAACGGCCUACCAAGGCAACGAUCAGUAGCCGGCCUGAGAGGGUGAACGGCCACAUUGGGACUGAGACACGGCCCAAACUCCUACGGGAGGCAGCAGUGGGGAGUCUUCCGCAAUGGGCGAAAGCCUGACGGAGCAAUGCCGCGUGAGUGAAGAAGGCCUUCGGGUUGUAAAACUCUGUCCUUAUCGAAGAGAGGUGGGUAUGUGAAUAAUGUACUCAUAGGACGGUAGAUAAGGAGGAAGCCCCGGCUAACUACGUGCCAGCAGCCGCGGUAAUACGUAGGGGGCGAGCGUUGUCCGGAAUCGCUGGGCGUAAAGGGCGCGUAGGCGGUUUAAUAAGUCAGUGGUGAAAACUGAGGGCUCAACCCUCAGCCUGCCACUGAUACUGUUAGACUUGAGUAUGGAAGAGGAGAAUGGAAUUCCUAGUGUAGCGGUGAAAUGCGUAGAUAUUAGGAGGAACACCAGUGGCGAAGGCGAUUCUCUGGGCCAAGACUGACGCUGAGGCGCGAAAGCGUGGGGAGCAAACAGGAUUAGAUACCCUGGUAGUCCACGCCGUAAACGAUGGAUACUAGGUGUUAGUAGUUUCGAUGCUACUAGUGCCGGAGUAAACACAAUAAGUAUCCCGCCUGGGGAGUACGGUCGCAAGACUGCAACUCAA
Molecule: ribosomal RNA, 945 nt
Filed under: uncultured Bacillota bacterium
Lineage: Bacteria; Bacillati; Bacillota
Description: bacterial SSU rRNA
Rfam family: Bacterial small subunit ribosomal RNA
Source: RNAcentral